This 253-nucleotide ribosomal RNA is filed under the name uncultured bacterium. Its description in RNAcentral is "partial 16S ribosomal RNA". It matches the Rfam family "Bacterial small subunit ribosomal RNA", at positions 524 to 776 of the family's 1533-position model. The record is from RNAcentral.
UACGAAGGGGGCUAGCGUUGCUCGGAAUCACUGGGCGUAAAGCGCACGUAGGUGGCUUUCUAAGUCAGGGGUGAAAUCCUGGAGCUCAACUCCAGAACUGCCUUUGAUACUGGAGAGCUUGAGUCCGGAAGAGGUGAGUGGAACUCCGAGUGUAGAGGUGAAAUUCGUAGAUAUUCGGAAGAACACCAGUGGCGAAGGCGGCUCACUGGUCCGGUACUGACGCUGAGGUGCGAAAGCGUGGGGAGCAAACAGG